This 613-nucleotide ribosomal RNA is filed under the name uncultured bacterium. Its description in RNAcentral is "bacterial SSU rRNA". It matches the Rfam family "Bacterial small subunit ribosomal RNA", at positions 338 to 946 of the family's 1533-position model. The record is from RNAcentral.
CCUACGGGAGGCAGCAGUGGGGAAUUUUGGACAAUGGGCGAAAGCCUGAUCCAGCAAUGCCGCGUGAGUGAAGAAGGCCUUCGGGUUGUAAAGCUCUUUUGUCAGGGAAGAAACGGUGAGGGCUAAUAUCCCUUGCUAAUGACGGUACCUGAAGAAUAAGCACCGGCUAACUACGUGCCAGCAGCCGCGGUAAUACGUAGGGUGCAAGCGUUAAUCGGAAUUACUGGGCGUAAAGCGUGCGCAGGCGGUUUUGUAAGUCUGUCGUGAAAUCCCCGGGCUCAACCUGGGAAUUGCGAUGGAGACUGCAAGGCUAGAAUCUGGCAGAGGGGGGUAGAAUUCCACGUGUAGCAGUGAAAUGCGUAGAGAUGUGGAGGAACACCGAUGGCGAAGGCAGCCCCCUGGGUCAAGAUUGACGCUCAUGCACGAAAGCGUGGGGAGCAAACAGGAUUAGAUACCCUGGUAGUCCACGCCCUAAACGAUGUCUACUAGUUGUCGGGUUUUAAUAACUUGGUAACGCAGCUAACGCGUGAAGUAGACCGCCUGGGGAUACGGUCGCAAGNUUAAAACUCAAAUGAUAGAGNGNGAGAGNGACGACGACGACGACGAGGAGGAG